GAGGGUUCGUGGUUGCUCUGGUUUCGCUCUCGAGUCAAGAAUAAUGUGCGACGCCCAGUUCGUCGUUCGCAUUUCGCGUUUUUCUUUUUCUGUAUAUAUAGAAAAGCAUUCUCUGCAGAAACCCAGAGGAUGAUAGAUAUGAUCGGACCAGUGGCUGAGGAAUGAGUGAUUGACCAACGCUAAGAAGCAAAGGGGCAGCGUGCAGCUACUUUGGGAGUACAUCUGGGCUUUGCAUGGGGCCGGGCGGAAGUACCUGGCAUGUACUCUGUGCUGCUGCAUCUCGUUCUGUCCAUUUCUUGGAUGUGCUGCGCCCAAGCUUCGUCGUCUGGAUAGCUAACGAGCUGGCUAGCGAUCGCAAAUUUUGGCGCUCAGCAGGCCUACCCCUGCAAACUGUGCCAGAAGACUAAAAUAAUAGAAGCUACUGAGUAUAAUAGUAACAAAGGAC
Molecule: small RNA, 445 nt
Filed under: Histoplasma ohiense
Lineage: Eukaryota; Fungi; Ascomycota; Eurotiomycetes; Onygenales; Ajellomycetaceae
Description: hypothetical lncRNA
Source: RNAcentral